AUAUGGUCUAAAGGUAUUACAUACUCCUCGGCCAAAGUAAUUUGUGCAACUUCAAGAAAGUUCUUUAGAGAAUGCAAGGUACACUUGUUUGAAAUUUCAAAAAGAUUGGAUUGGAAGUGAUUGAGAAAAAUGACAU
Long non-coding RNA from Saccostrea echinata, 136 nucleotides. RefSeq lists it as uncharacterized. The transcript is spliced from 2 exons. NCBI's taxonomy places the organism in Eukaryota, Metazoa, Mollusca, Bivalvia, Ostreida, Ostreidae. The record is from RefSeq and is a predicted model, not a curated record.